RNAcentral lists this ribosomal RNA (2214 nucleotides) under Candidatus Bathyarchaeota archaeon. RNAcentral describes it as "partial 23S ribosomal RNA". It matches the Rfam family "Archaeal large subunit ribosomal RNA", at positions 1 to 2184 of the family's 2987-position model. The record is from RNAcentral. Lineage: Archaea; Thermoproteati; Candidatus Bathyarchaeota.
AAGCCCGACAUGCCACGCCGUCUGGUGGAUGACCAGGCUUGAGCGCCGAAGAAGGGCGCGGCAAGCAGCGAAAUGCCACGGGUAAGCGCAUGCAGCUGUAGAUCCGUGGAUACCUCAAUGAGACUUCUUGUCGCGAAAUCCGAAAGGACUUCGUGACGUUCCGAAAGGAACGGGAACCCCCAAAACGGAAACAUCUUAGUAAGGGGAGGAAAAGAAACCAAUUGGGAUUCCCCUAGUAGCGGCGAGCGAAAAGGGAAAAGUCCAAACCAAACUCCACAAGGAAACUUGUGGCGAAUGUAGUGUUGCGGGUCCAGCCGCCUUCUCCCUGACCAAGCCAAAGUCGCCUGAAACGGCGCACCAAAGAGGAUGAAAGUUCCGUAGGCAUAAACCAGAAGAAGCAGGGCUGGAAUCCCAGAGUACCAUUCCCUGGUUUGGGAAUGGAAAACUGGAAGUCACCAACUUCCAAGACUAAACACGACUCAAGACCGAUAGCGCACUAGUACGGUGACGGAAAAUUGAAAAGCACCCCGGAAGGGGGAUGAAAAGAGCCUGAAACCAGACGGUCACAGACGUGUGCAGCCCCAAAGGACAGACUCCCCUCAAAGAAAACCAUGGCAACGUGGCAAUCAAGAGGGGACGACCAGGGUUGCACUCUCCGUCUAGAAACACGGGCCGGGGAGUUCACGAUUGUGGCAAGCCUAAAGGCACAAAGCCUGCAAGCAAAGGGAAACCAACAAGCGCACAAACAGCUUCGGCUGGUGAGGCGCGAGGUCCGAAAAGGCCUGGAGUCACAACCGUGAGACUAGAAACCGGACGAUCUAGCCUUGAGCAGGGCGAAGUCAGGCGAAAGCUUGAUGGAGGCCCGAAAGGGUGUUGACGUGCAACUCACUCCUCAGACUUGAGGCUAGGGGCGAAAGACCAAUCUAGCCCGGUGAUAGCUAGUUCCCUCCGAAGUGGGUCGCAGCCCAGCCCCAAGCGAGGUAGCUGAUGGGGUAGAGCACUGAUUGGAAAGUAAGGGAUCGAAAGAUCCCGCUUUUCUUUCAAACUCCGAAUCUAUCAGCGCCGUAGACCUUGGGAGACGGGUUCGUGGGGGUAAGCUCCAUGUCCGAGAGGGGAACAACCCAGACUGAGGUUAAGGCCCCAAAGUGCUGGCUAAGUGUUAAACUGAAAGGUGUCAUCAGCCCCAGACAGCGGGGAGGUAGGCUUAGAAGCAGCCACCCUUCAAAGAAAGCGUAACAGCUCACCCGCCGAGGCUGAUGGCCCUGAAAAUGGACGGGGCUAAGCCAGCCGCCGAUACCCCAGGGUGCAGUUCAGCACUGCAAUCCGGUAGGAGGGCGUCCCGACUGGGCGGAAGCCAGGCUGUAAGGUCUGGUGGACCGGUUCGGGAGUGAAAAUCCCGGUGGUAGUAACAGCAAAGAGAGGUGAGAAUCCUCUCCGCCGAAAGGGCAAGGGUUCCCCAGCAAUGCGUCGUCAGCUGGGGGUAAGUCGGUCCUAAGACUGAGCCUAACCGACUCAGCCGAAAGGGAAGCUGGUUAAAAUUCCCGCACCACAGAGGUACACGUGGCGACACAAGCUCAACAUCUGACGCUUCGGAGUAGACUGAGCAAGGCUAUCGCCUUGUUUAACCGCAUAAACCUGGGGAGUGCCGUAAUGGCGAGAACCAGGCGAAAACGGGAAUAGCUGCCCGUUUUUAGGACAGUUCAGUCAAUCUCUGGAGCCCAUGAAAAGGAUGUUGGGAAGGACCCUCUGUGUCCGUACCCAGAACCGUCACAGGUGUCCCUAGGCGAGGAACCUAAGGCGUGUCGGGUGUACACCAAGCGAGGGAAAUCGGCAAGUUAGCCCCGUAACUUCGGGAUAAGGGGUGCCUGCAGUUUUGGCUUCGGCUGGGACUGCAGGUCGCAGUAGCAAAGGGGGCCCGACUGUUUAAUAAAAACACAGGAAGCCGCAAGCCUGAAAAGGUGUGUACGGCUUCUGAAUCCUGGCCACUACAGGUACCUGAAACCUGGGUUCAACCGGGCUAAGGGCCUGCAAAAGCCGGGAGUAACUCUGACUCUCUCAAGGUAGCCAAAUGCCUUGUCGGGUAAGUUCCGACGUGCAUGAAUGGAGCAACGAGGUCCCCGCUGUCCCCGCUUGGUACCCGGUGAACCCACGUAAAGUGGACGAACAGUCCACUGACUCCCAGCGGGAAAAGAAGACCCCGUGGAGUUUUACUGC